CUAGGUGUAUCUAUUUAAAUAGAUGAGACAGCACGCGCUCUCCAUCAGGCCUAAUUAGACUCAGGUGUGGAACUGGUUUCCUUUCCUCCCAUCAAAGACACCAGACAAGUGACGAAGCCCACAGAGAGAAACUCCUCGAUACCAACACACAGAGGAAGCUCAGUGCGCUGACGUCACACGUCUUCAGGACACUGAGGCUGGAGUGGGAUGGGACAGUUUGCACCGGUCAGUGACUCAGACUUUUGUCUGUCUCCUCCCCUUCCCGGAGACUCACUGUGCCCCCUAUUAACCGAUGGGUGACUCCAGGUACGUAACUGUCUGUGAACAGAAUACAUAAUGUGUCACUCUUCUGUUGGUAGCUGGAUGUUUGACUGAAACUUAAGUAUAACACAGUAUGAACAAGAGAUUCUUCUCUAAUCAAACCUUUCAAUCAGUCUGAUUUAUAUGUUAUUCUGUUGAUGACAAAAAGAAGUGAGCACAAAGUAAUUUUAGCUGAUGUAAAUCUCAAAGUGAGGAGCACACAGGGACAGAUUAAUAUACUCAGAGCACAUUUUGAAAGGACGUAAGAGUGUACUGAAUGUUUUAAGACAAACUGUGUUUCAGGUGUGUGUGAGCAGCAGAGCUUCCUGAACUUGUCUUCAGUCAUGUUCACUCAGUUUCACUCAGACAUCACCUUUUAAGUAACACCGGGUUACUUAUCCUAGCGUCGUUCUUUCCAUAGAUCGCUACUGAAAAAUAAUUGACCCCAACAGAUUAAGGUGCGCCCUUUAACAUCGAUGCAUCCUUUCAAGUUUUUAUGUGAAAAAGCAGCUAGGGAAUAGUUUUGGGCCAUCUCAAAUAAAAUCAUGACUCUGUUUGGUUUUUGCUGUCUCAGAGUAAAAUCCAAUGCUUUUAUUGUUUUUAAAAAGGUUUUAAAAAGUCAAACAAGAGAAAGACUUUUCAGCUUUUAUUUGAAAUGUGACUUUACACAGGGAAACCAAAUGUCAUGUUUGUGGAUAUAAAAAAAAGUUCAAUAACAAAAACUGUCACACAAAAGGUGUGGUAUGUCUUUUUGCAACAUUCUUUCUAGCUUCCCACUGAAUCUGAGCUUUGACAGAGGCACCUCUCUCUUUAAUAAAUAGUUUCAUUUACAGAAUGAGUAAUUAGUUAUAAAUAUGAAGGCGCAUAUUAAACAUUUUUAAAGCAAUUAUAAAUGUAUUGAUUCAGUUACCAAAAAACAAAUAGGCAAGCAAACCAGUCAAGCAGAGAUGCAAAACUGUAAAUUAUAUUGGCAAACCCAAGAAAUUGGCGCACAAUGAUAAACAUACAAAACAUGAUGCUCAAACACAAGUGAAACUUUAAAUUAUAGGCACUAGUUUAAGAACACCCACCACACCAAUUACCAGAACAGCUUUCCCAACACUGGCACACCUUUUGAUUUAAUGUCAUAGCACUAGAGGUAAAAGCCAGUCAAAAAUUUAACUUGUCAUCCUACCCAAGAUAUUUUUCGAUUUUUUUUUUCUUGUUCAUGGCAUGAAUGAUAUACACUGACAAAUCUGUUAUGGGAAUUUAAUGAACAACAUCAAAGAUUUCUUGGUUUCAUUGGCUGAAUGGGUGAACGGGGAUUAAAUAUAUUUUUGAGUUCAGGUUUCUUUCUCAAUAGAUGGAGUUUGUUUGAGACAUCAGAUAUAACGCACACCUGGACUGAAACUGACCAAUCGAAGCACUUCAAUGGAAAAGUACAAUCUUGGCAAACUGUGGUACAAGUCAGAACUGAGGCUUUGGCCGUGGUGUCAUUAAUCACCCAGGUUUCCCACAAGUCCUGAUUUGACAUUUUGAAAAUAACAAAAAAAAAGGCUUUGGAGAUUUAGCUUGCAAUUGAGGUUCAAAAUGUACAUUUUAAACAAUUGAAAUCUUAAAACAAAAUACUGAUAUGGAUGUUUGGACAUACACUUAAAUAAUUUGAAUAAAUAAUUUCCAAAACAAACUUGUGCAUACAUUCUGGCUGAUUUUACAAGAGGAAAGAUUCUUAAAAUGUCAUACCCACACAGAGGUGCUUUCACUGUUGCAAGACAUCAACAAUUCUCUAACGUUAUGGAACAGUUCACCUGCACAGCAUCAUCAUAGAGAUCGCUCACCGACAUCUGUUAAACACAGAGCAUAGAGAGAGAAA
Lates calcarifer (barramundi perch) is the source of this 2152-nucleotide long non-coding RNA. RefSeq lists it as uncharacterized. The transcript has 2 exons. The record is from RefSeq and is a predicted model, not a curated record. Lineage: Eukaryota; Metazoa; Chordata; Actinopteri; Centropomidae.